GAUGAAGAACGUAGCGAAAUGCGAUAAGUAGUGUGAAUUGCAGAAUUCAGUGAAUCAUCGAAUCUUUGAACGCACAUUGCGCCCUUCGGUAUUCCGAGGGGCAUGCCUGUUCGAGCGUCAUUAUAACCCCUCAAGCUCAGCUUGGUGUUGGGGCCUGCCGCACGGGCAGCCCUUAAAAUCAGUGGCGGUGCCAUCUGGCUCUAAGCGUAGUAAUUCUUCUCGCUAUAGAGUCCCGGUGGAUGCUUGCCAUUAACCCCCAAUUUUCUAUGGUUGACCUCGGAUCAGGUAGGGAUACCCGCUGAACUUAAGCAUAUCAAUAAGCGGAGGA
RNAcentral lists this unclassified non-coding RNA (328 nucleotides) under soil metagenome. RNAcentral's name for it is "partial contains 5.8S ribosomal RNA, internal transcribed spacer 2, and large subunit ribosomal RNA". The stretch from base 1 to 120 matches the Rfam family "5.8S ribosomal RNA", at positions 35 to 154 of the family's 154-position model. The record is from RNAcentral.